This 1303-nucleotide ribosomal RNA is filed under the name metagenome. RNAcentral's name for it is "bacterial LSU rRNA". It matches the Rfam family "Bacterial large subunit ribosomal RNA", at positions 1610 to 2925 of the family's 2925-position model. The record is from RNAcentral.
UAGAAAAGCAUCUAGAGAGAGAAGUAGUGCCCGUACCGCAAACCGACACAGGUAGAUGAGGAGAGAAUCCUAAGGCCGGCGGAAGAAUUGCAGUUAAGGAACUAGGCAAAUUGACCCCGUAAGUUCGCGAGAAGGGGUGCCUGCGAGAGCAGGCCGCAGAGAAUAGGCCCAAGCAACUGUUUAGCAAAAACACAGGUCUCUGCUAAAGCGUAAGCUGAUGUAUAGGGGCUGACGCCUGCCCGGUGCUGGAAGGUUAAGGGGAACACUUAGCGCAAGCGAAGGUGUGAACUUAAGCCCCAGUAAACGGCGGCCGUAACAAUAACGGUCCUAAGGUAGCGAAAUUCCUCGUCAGGUAAGUUCUGACCCGCACGAAUGGCGUAAUGACUUGGGCACUGUCUCAACUGCAAAUCCGGCGAAGUUGUAGUGCGAGUGAAGAUGCUCGCUACCCGCGAUUGGACGGAAAGACCCCGUAGAGCUUUACUGUAGCUUAGCAUUGAAUUCCGGUAUUGUCUGUACAGGAUAGGUGGGAGACUGGGAAACUAGGGCGUCAGCCUUAGUGGAGUCAACCUUGGGAUACCACCCUGACAGUACUGGGGUUCUAACAGGACGCCAUGAAGCUGGUGACUGGACAUUGUUAGGUGGGCAGUUUGACUGGGGCGGUCGCCUCCUAAAAAGUAACGGAGGCGCCCAAAGGUUCCCUCAGAACGGUCGGAAAUCGUUCGUAGAGUGCAAAGGCAGAAGGGAGCCUGACUGCGAGACCCACAAGUCGAGCAGGGACGAAAGUCGGGCUUAGUGAUCCGGUGGUACCUCGUGGGAGGGCCAUCGCUCAACGGAUAAAAGCUACCUCGGGGAUAACAGGCUGAUCUCCCCCAAGAGUCCACAUCGACGGGGAGGUUUGGCACCUCGAUGUCGGCUCGUCGCAUCCUGGGGCUGUAGUAGGUCCCAAGGGUUGGGCUGUUCGCCCAUUAAAGCGGCACGCGAGCUGGGUUCAGAACGUCGUGAGACAGUUCGGUCCCUAUCCGUCGCGGGCGUAGGAAAUUUGAGAGGAGCUGUCCUUAGUACGAGAGGACCGGGAUGGACUGACCUCUGGUGCACCAGUUGUUCUGCCAAGAGCAUGGCUGGGUAGCUAAGUCGGGAAGGGAUAAACGCUGAAAGCAUCUAAGCGUGAAGCCCCCCUCAAGAUGAGAUUUCCCAUAGCAUAAGCUAGUAAGACCCCUUGAAGAACACAAGGUUGAUAGGUCAGAGGUGGAAGUGCGGUAACGUAUGUAGCUGACUGAUACUAAUAGGUCGAGGGCUUGACCAU